Molecule: ribosomal RNA, 635 nt
Filed under: Actinomyces sp. oral taxon 175
Lineage: Bacteria; Bacillati; Actinomycetota; Actinomycetes; Actinomycetales; Actinomycetaceae
Description: bacterial SSU rRNA
Rfam family: Bacterial small subunit ribosomal RNA
Source: RNAcentral
GAUGCAGCGACGCCGCGUGAGGGAUGGAGGCCUUCGGGUUGUAAACCUCUUUCGCCAGUGAAGCAGGCCUGUCCCUUUUGUGGGUGGGUUGACGGUAGCUGGAUAAGAAGCGCCGGCUAACUACGUGCCAGCAGCCGCGGUAAUACGUAGGGCGCGAGCGUUGUCCGGAAUUAUUGGGCGUAAAGAGCUCGUAGGCGGCUGGUCGCGUCUGUCGUGAAAUCCUCUGGCUUAACUGGGGGCUUGCGGUGGGUACGGGCCGGCUUGAGUGCGGUAGGGGAGACUGGAACUCCUGGUGUAGCGGUGGAAUGCGCAGAUAUCAGGAAGAACACCGGUGGCGAAGGCGGGUCUCUGGGCCGUUACUGACGCUGAGGAGCGAAAGCGUGGGGAGCGAACAGGAUUAGAUACCCUGGUAGUCCACGCCGUAAACGUUGGGCACUAGGUGUGGGGGGCCUUUUCCGGGUCUUCCGCGCCGUAGCUAACGCAUUAAGUGCCCCGCCUGGGGAGUACGGCCGCAAGGCUAAAACUCAAAGGAAUUGACGGGGGCCCGCACAAGCGGCGGAGCAUGCGGAUUAAUUCGAUGCAACGCGAAGAACCUUACCAAGGCUUGACAUGUGCCGGUCGGCUCCGGAGACGGG